RNAcentral lists this ribosomal RNA (1209 nucleotides) under uncultured prokaryote. Its description in RNAcentral is "partial 16S ribosomal RNA". It matches the Rfam family "Bacterial small subunit ribosomal RNA", at positions 224 to 1424 of the family's 1533-position model. The record is from RNAcentral.
GAUGAGCCUAUGUCGGAUUAGCUAGUUGGUGCGGUAAUGGCUUACCACGACUACCAUCCGUCGCUGGUUUGCGCGGCUGCUCCGCCCCCCUGGGCCUGCAGACACGGCCCAGACUCCUACGGGAGGCAGCAGUAGGGAGUAUUGGACAAUGGGCGCAAGCCUGAUCCAGCAAUGCCGCGUGUGUGAAGAAGGCCUGCGGGUUGUAAAGCACUUUCAAUUGGGAAGAAAGAUUUAGAGUUAAUACCUCUUAAUAUUGACGUUACCAAUAGAAGAAGCACAGAGUAACUACGUGCCAGCAGCCGCUGUAACACGUAAGGGGCAAGCGUUGUUCGGAUUUAUUGGGCGUAAAGAGUACGCAGGUGGUUAAAUCAGUCGGAUGUGAAAGCCCCAGGCUUAACUUGGGAAUUGCUUUCGAUACUGUUAAACUAGAAUCUAGGAGGGGAAACUGGAAUUUCAGGUGUAGCGGUGAAAUGCGUAGAUAUUAGGAAGAACACCAGUGGCGAAGGCGGCUUCUUGGAUUGAUACUGACACUGAGGUGCGAAAGCGUGGGGAGCAAACAGGAUUAGAUACCCUGGUAGUCCACGCCGUAAACGAUGUCUACUAGCCGUUGGGAGACUUGAUCUCUUAGUGGCGCAGCUAACGCAAUAAGUAGACCGCCUGGGGAGUACGGCCGCAAGGUUAAAACUCAAAUGAAUUGACGGGGGCCCGCACAAGCGGGGGAGCAUUGGGUUUAAUUCGAUGCAACGCGAAGAACCUUACCAGGUCUUGACAUCCCGAGAAUUUGCUAGAGAUAGCUUAGUGCCUUCGGGAACUCGGUGACAGGUGCUGCAUGGCUGUCGUCAGCUCGUGUCGUGAGAUGUUGGGUUAAGUCCCGUAACGAGCGCAACCCUUGUCCUUAGUUGCCAGCACGUAAUGGUGGGAACUCUAAGGAGACUGCCGGUGACAAACCGGAGGAAGGUGGGGACUACGUCAAGUCAUCAUGGCCCUUAUGGGCAGGGCUACACACGUGCUACAAUGGGCGGUACAGAGGGUCGCUAACCCGCGAGGGGGUGCUAAUCUCACAAAACCGUUCGUAGUCCGGAUCGGAGUCUGCAACUCGACUCCGUGAAGUCGGAAUCGCUAGUAAUCGUGAAUCAGAAUGUCACGGUGAAUACGUUCUCGGGCCUUGUACACACCGCCCGUCACACCAUGGGAGUUGGCUGUACCAGA